UCGCCUGGCAACGACGAGAGAUCGACCGAGUGCUCUUUCCACUCCCCCCCCUCCUCUCUGUCCCCGCCUUAGCGGCCUCCGAGAGGGUUGGACACCACCCUCGCUCGUUGUUGUUUCCGCCGCUGGUACUGGUACUGGUAUGACAGUGGUGGUCCGCGGACGUGUGUGAAAGCUACUAUAUAUCGGGAGUUGCGAGUGAGCAAACGAUUAGUCGUCGCUAUUGGGAAUGGAACGUCGAGGGUGGAAGGUCAAGAGGAGAGCGGACACCUUGAAGGACAUGCCAAUGGUAUAUAAAUACACCUUGCACAUCUGGGGUGGACUCUUAGAAGCAGAAGUAACGAAAUCGGGACACCGAAUGCGAAUAUCAUAAAAAUGUAGAUGUAAAAGAAAUAAAUGUGCAUUAUAAGUAUACAAGUUUUUACAAAAAUUAAUUAAUGUUGAAUUAUAAAGUAGUUAUUAUAAAGUAUAACAUUAUAACGAAAAAUUAAAUUAUGCUAUAUGAAAUGUUUAGCAUUUAUUGUUUUUUUUUUUUUUUAUGUACCAUCACUCGAUGUAUCAAGCAGUGGUUUUUUUAAACUUUGACAUAAUUAUCCGACCAAAUUAUUAUAAAUCACGUCAUACAACUAUAUCAAAAUACUUGAUAUUUUUUCACAUAUUUUAAUUUUAUUCCAUUUGUAAUAACGUAGACUAAAAAUUAUAAGUAUAAAAGAGUGACAAGUACCGGUGACACGGUAUCCUCAAUAUGGUAUUCCAUCUACUAUCCCGUGAAAUAUGAGGGGGCUCGAUCGUUCGCUGUUUGUCCGUUCGUCCAUUCUCGCCGGCAAACAUACCGAAAAUGGCGUACGGUAUUUCACAUUGUUGUUUUAAGACAGCUCGAUCGAUACCUUCAUCGCGGUAUCGGUACACACCCACAUUGUAUCGUCUCGCUUAUAAAUAAAACGAUCGCUUAGCUCUGAAGUCUCGGGGAAAACUUUCGCCGCGCUUUGAUUCGUGGACGUUUUAUAACGUAACGAACCUCAUUAGGAACGGUAAUAGCGCCUUUUCUGGUCGUAACUCCAUUUUCUGCGAGGUUACAAGACGGAUAGCCGCCGUCGUUGCACCGUCGCCUUAAAAGUCCUCGCACAUCCUACGGAAACGGAGAGUAAUGAAUAGUUCGCAAACGUAAAAAAAGGGGGAGGGGGAAGAAUCCUGUCGAUCGUCGUCCGGUGAUUUAUCGUGACUUGAUCGCGCCGGUCAAAGCGCCGCGAUAACGCUUUGUCCGAUAAGGCAAGAAGAGAAGCGCGUCCUACUGUCGUUUUCGCUACGAUUACAGAUAACGCAAGGACAUGAUUCAUGCGUCUAUGACUAUCAUUGUGUGAUCGUACGAUUAUUGUUAUCUGAUAAUUAUAUGCGAAAGGUGUUUUCGUCGUUUGUGAGAUACAAUCACAAACGAAAAAUGUAUCGAUUUCAAGCAUCGCGCAUUUCGGUUAUUAAAAGAUUAUCAUAUUUGCCUUGCGUAACUAAAGUUUUAUAUCUAUAAAAAAAUCUAAUUAAACCAUAAUAAAUUAAUUUGUCAACUUUUCGCAUUAACUUUCCGAGGAAUUAAUUCAUAAUUUUUGCACCACUUGCACCACAUUUCUGCGUCAAGAAACUUCACACGACUGUUAAGCUUGUUAAUGACUAAGGUUUAAAGGAGUCAAACCAGAUCUUUCGUGGAAAAAAACAGUAGAUUUCCCGUGACGUCAUUUCCUCAGCAUCGUCGCGCGGAUGCAGGCACUCGUGCCUGACGACUUUUUCGUCGCACAUCGCAGGGGAAGAGAGCGAAAAACUAACGAGCGCAAGGUUCACUCAGAUUAGAUCGACUCCAAUUUAGUUCACUCGUCGUUUGACCUCCAUUCCAGAUCGGCCGCCCUCUCUCCGGCUUUUAAUUUGCGGAGGAUGUGACGUUCCCUCGAUGAAUCUCAUCGGUCGUCCCUCUCAACGACCGGUGCCGUUAAACCGGAACAAUUUAGCAUCGAGGACGACGGAACGGUCAUCCCCCAUUUUUUAUCGGGACUCCGCAUUAUAGAUUUAAUUGUAACUCAAUCAAGGGAAUAGGAAGUAAAGUUUUACAAUAAAGUGUUUUUUGUAUAACAAUUCAUCAUUGGAAUCCUGAUUGGGUAACUCGAAGAAAUUGCAAAUAACUAUUUGCGAGAUAUUAAUCUACGAAUUCAAUUGCAAAAUUAAAAAAUAAAUCAAUUUUAUUUAAUAAGUUGUAGUAAUUUUCCAAAUCAGAAAAAUGUUAUACAAUAUGAUAUUGAAUAUUACUUAUGAGAUACUGUUCAUACUACAAAAAAUGUUUUGUUGUAAUAACAAAUAAUUUGGUUAAUAUCUAUCGUAUAUGUAAUAACAACUAUAUUUGAUUAAUAAAAUAAACACAAAUAUUAGUACAUUUUUUAUUUACAUGGUUAUUUUAUUUCGCAGAAACAACCAAAUUUUUUGUUACAUAAAGUAAAACUGAAAAAAAGCGUCAACUAAACAGUUUUUACUGAAGGCACUAAAUUGUUUUAUUCAGUUUUUCCUAUAAGAACAAAUUUGUUGCUUUUGUGAAUUAUCGAAACAUUUUAAUGAGCCUUGUAAGAUGAGUUAACGUGAAAGAGUAAAAGAGCAUAAGAGUGCACGCGUUCUAAGCUUCGUAGGCUUUGAAAGAUAAUACCGGAAGAGAAAAUUUGAAAGAGGUUCCCAAAUUGACCUGUUUCCGCUUUCCAAACAUCGUCAGUCCAUUAAUUUUAGGGAGUUAGAACGAGGGAUGAAGCCCUGCAGAGGCCUAGAUGAAAGACGAGUGCCUGACGUAUAUUUGAAGUUUGAUCGAUUGAUCACACGAUACAUCUAUUGCAAUCUUUUAUACGCCCACCAAGGAUCUCCGCUCGUCAGCGAAUAUACAACCCUCUUGGGGGUUAUCUGUAUCGUUAAUUCUUGGUCAUUGUAUCACAUACGCCAAAAUAAAGAAAAAUAUGUAAUACAUUAAUAUGUAGCAUAUAUUAUUUGAUAAUUUAUCUUAGUAACAUUUUGCAAAAAUAUAAUUUAGUAACACAUAAAUUUUUAUACGUGUUUUUUGAAAAUAAUGACACGUUCCGACAUUACCGUCUCUUUCUAAUACUUGCAAGUAUCGAUGACUGCAUUCACCGUUACGUGAAGCUUCUCACCUCACAUUUGCAUCUGUUUAAACGAAUAAAUAAUCCCACGGUACCGCGCGCGACGAUAUUCUCUUCUCGGUGCCCGGCCCGAGUCUACAAUCCCCGGCACGAGGAAGAAAGAGCCAGGAAGUCAACCGUGAGACAGGAAGGUCGUACCAUCUAAGUUUAGAGUGUGUUUAGUCACCUACCACGGCUACCUACACUUUUCCAUCUACAACUCCGCCCCUUUAUCUGCCCAGGUUCGCGAGGAAUCAUUAACGACCUCCGUAUGUGGAGGUGGUACUCGCACACGUACGUGCGGUGGGACCCUUUCACGAUAAUCCUGGAAACUCGGAUCCCGCGAUACGAGUCCCGCGAAUUGGCAUGCGAAGAAAACCAGGGAAGCGUUAUUCGAUUUACGCGCAAGUUAAUUUCGCGCUUUCUCACGUUGUUCAAGGUAUCUAAUUUUUUCUUCAUAGAAAUAAGGACAUUGCGUAAAAAUAUUUGUAGCUUAUUUUAAGAGACGUUUCACACUUGCCAUAUUAAAACUUUCUGCACGUUUUGUUUCUCGCAGCUUUCGAAUCGUGGUAGAGACAGAGAGAGAGAGAGAGAGAGAGAGAGAGAGAGAGAGAGAGAAAGAGAGAGGAGACUUCCGCGAAAAACACUCCGUGAAAUUCCGUUGUCUGAGAAGAGUAUUAUGGUACAGUCUGUCUGCCGGCUGUUUUACAGUGUUAAUAUAUAUCUCCGCCGGUUAUUCCAAUAUCCGUUGUCUACUCUAGACGAUGAUGCAAGCGUUUGUACUUCCCGCGCGCGCUGGCAUACGUUCUCGUCUAUCUGCCGCCGCCGUCUAUCUAUCGUGUCCCGAAGGAAAACCUGAAUCACGAAAUCCUCCGGGUGCUCGCUCCAAGAAAGGCGGAGGCAGCUGCGGCGGCAGCUCCGUAUAGAGCCGGUACGUACGCGCGUGUAACGUUUACACGUCCCCGUAUCUCUUCGGCGUGUGUUCGUGCGUGGGUGUUUAAGCGGGUGCAGGAAGGAAAGGUGCGGAGACGGACGAGAGGGGGAUGGGAUAAAGGAGUAAAACCGCGUUGUAUAGAUGUGGGGACUGUAAAUAUCGCGUCGCUCUGCUGCCUACUUCGCGCUCAACGGGGAGGCACGCCCGGUAUAUGUGGUAUAUCGCCUUAUGUGCGUCUUUCAUCCUAUCGUGGUGGUGCCUAUGAAGAACGGACAGACGAACGGACCAUUGGAUAAAAAAUAUCCUACUAAAUUGAUAAAUUAUGACCGCUUAAAUCAGCCAGAUGCGGGGUCCGUUCUAUUGCUGCCGAGAAAGAGAGAGAGAGAGAGAGAGAGAGAGAGAGAGAGAGAGAGAGAGAGAGAGAGAGAGAGGCUGGUCCCUGAUUUAGGUAGCCAUUCUGGAUAACUCUCGAUAAUAACUCUAUUGUAAACCGUAAUCGGGAAACUUUAUGAUGGAAGUUUUUAAUGGCUUUUCUAGUAAUUCCUUAGUAAUUGCCAGCGUGGUCGAAACGAUGUAAUAAAAAUUAGAGAGAAUUAUGAUCAAAUUUAGGUAGUUGAAAUUGAAGUCUUUACGGUAUACUAUAGUAAUAGACAGACAAAGUAAUAAAGCAUUUAUUAGCGUUUUAGGGUAAACCAGCGUUUAAGAACCAACAAAAUAAUAACAGAAAAAAACACACAAAAAUAAAAAAAAUAAAAUAAUAACGUAAUAGUUACGCAAGCAGAAUCAAUAAGUGAAAAUGAAAAUAAAAAUAAGAACGCAAAUUUAUUGAAGCCUAUAUUAUAAGAAUUAUAUACAGAGAAAUUAUCAUGAGGUUCAAGUAGUUGAAGCUGAUUAAACUUGAGAAACAGACAAUAUUCUGUUCUUUCCUUAUUAAUUUUUUGCGAUUGAUAUCUAUAAUCACCGACUAGAACAUAAAUCUUUAACGGAGGGAUCGUUAAAUCAUGACUGCUCUAUCGAAAAGUUCUUUGCUAUUUGUCGUAAAGACGAAUCUUUCGAGAUGGGCGUACAAAUCGAAAUUUAUGGCGGUUACGGCGGCCGAAACUCCGCGCUCUCUUGCGACACGGACAAUGUAAGAGGUUGCGUCAUACACCACGCCGAGAAUCGGCUUCGAGGCAAAUCGAGGCCCGAUCCGAAGAACUCGGACUGACGUUCCCGGAGGGGGCGCGGCACUUUCUCUCACUGGAGUUCCAGAGCAACGUGGAAUCGAGGAAACCCCUCACGAAUACUCACACUUUGCUCUUUCGUAGUCGUCCCGAUGUCUGGCAAGUUACCUCGCCUCGCUUAAAAUUCAAUUUAACCAAAGUGGGAAAUAUAUUCGCAGUCUACCUAGAGAGUGUAUAUAGUUGGACACAUAAAAUAUUUCAUUCCGCGAGAAUUUGUAGGAUAAGAGUUUGCACAUCACAUCUAAUACUUUCUUCGACAUUAAAGUCUAAAAACGCAAUUUUGAAAUUUAAACCUUUUUUUACUUAAUGUCUUUCAUCUCAUUUCUCGAUGUUCUUGAUACCUUGAUACAUCCUAAGUUGAUCUCUAAGUUUUUACUUGACUUAGAAAUGCAAUAGGAAAAAGAGAAAAUUAGGAACACAAUCGGCAAAAGCGACAACAGACUAGGUGCGGUACGAAGAAAGAGGAAGAAUACAACGCUCGAACAGAAAUUCCAUCGUCAACCGGUCGGGACUCGCAAUAGAAUCGGGGGGUUCCUUUGACCGGUUGCACGUUCAAGCCUGCCUGACCACUUGUGAUUCAUUUUACGCAAUAAGCCUUCGCUCGCGCCAUGUAUGCAAUUCCAUUUGUUUUCUGUGCGUCUCUUUUCCAAGUCUCGCGCGAAACGCGGGAUUUUUGCCGCGGCAAAACUCCUGAGAAACAUACGCUACCUUUUCUUUUUUCAUUAAAGGAAAAAAAUUCUUCCUCUCAAAAUCCUAGAAAAAUUUUAACAUGUAUUUUAAUAUUAUAAAAAUGUACAUACAUAUUUGUCUUUAUUUGAGAUAUAAAAAUGAUGUAAACGUUAAUAUAUUAGACACGGAAAGAAGGCACAUUGCACUUUUUUCACAUACCUUUAGUCAUUGUUAACAACAUUGUGGAAUUGCAAAACUUAAUAUUUUUUAGUUUAUGUCGAGGAAGUAAUCUAUUAAAUAAUAAAUCUCGCUACUUUGUGAUUUUCAGCAGUUGCUCUUAAUUUGAUAAUUUCAUGUGUGAUUUGCUCGAUGAGACAGUUCUAUUAAGUCACGCGUCCAUGUGUCUAGACUGAACACAUAUUACAUCAUUCUGCGCUACAAAUUCACGUAAGUGCAAUAAAGAAAUGGUUCAAGUACUUGGACAGAGAUAACUGGAAAUCUCGUUUAUCUGCAGAAAAAUGUAGCACACGUUUAGAAAUAAUUCACUUGUAGUCGUGAAAAUCGAGAGUUUCGCGUUGAUUUAGUUUUCUCGCAUAAAACUGACUAUGUCGCGAGAUUAAAGGUACUUUCUAGCAGCUAUCGAGUUUUUGGCAACGGGGAACAGUAGUCAAGGAGGCUUCGACCUUAUUCUUAUCACGUACUUGGCAAUUGCCCAAGUCUUUCCGGCUGUAUCUUCCUUAAUCAAGGAAUGAGAACCAUCCUUAAAUGUUGCGCAUUCGUCGGCUGUAUCUUAGCUCGCAAAAAAUGCUUAUCUACAAAAAACCGUUUUAUGAGUUUAGUUUUUCAUAUGCAAACAGGUAUAUUGCAUCUUAAGAGCUACUACUAGAUUUAAUAUCGACGUAAUAUAUUUUUUAAUAUAUGCGAAAAUUAUUUAAUUGCUUCUCAACUUGCUGCUUGUAUAAAAUUCUUUAAAACCAGCGAUUAUGAUAUAAUUUUCAUAUACUCUAAAUAAUAGAAUAUAUGGUUAUAUUACAUAAUCAUUAAUAUUUUUCCGAUAAAAUUUAAUAUGUAUACAUUUCAGCGAGAGAUUCACGACAGCAGAUUUUACGUUAUUACAUCACACGCAUUACUCAUAGCAGAUACCGUAUUGUUAUACUACUUUUUACAUCAAUAUUUCAAAUUUUAGAUACAUACAAUAUUAUAAUCUAGAUUCGCGAUUAUUACGUGCGAUUGUUACAUUCACGAGACGAUCCUGAUACUAUCGAUCUCUAUUGGACAAAUGCCGCACACGAGAGAAUCUUUUGGAGUACCCUCGAAAAUACUUCUCUCUGGUUCUCGUACCCUACUUUAUUAUACCGUCGUCCCGAUGAGCACGGUAUAUUACACGAUGACCGAGCGGCGCGCACACGCGGCUACCUAUUACGAUAAAUACCCGGCGCGCGCGAUUCAGCCAGAUCGGCGGGACUGGCUCCCUAAGACGGUGAAAUAUUUCCGCGAUAGCCAUAACCUUUCGCCAUGGCUUCCCACGCCUCUCGACGAACGUGUCCCGCCGCGCCCGCGCUGACCACCGAGCGAACGAAACACAUCCAGCUGAGCUGGAUCGUGAUCGGUAUUUCCCUUUCUCAUUUAAGCAGAUCAAUCAGUUAGAUCAAUCAACUCGAAUGAGAGACACUAGUCGCUGUGAUAAGGCGACUGCACCUUAAACUUGUUGCGUGAAGCAUUAGUUGUCAAAUGUUUUUGUCCGUAUAAAAUAUUCUAAUAAAAAAAUAAAAUAUAAUUUGAAAAUUUCAUGUUUUUCUUACAGAAGAAUAAUUAAAAACGUUACUAACGUUUGCAUUUUUAACUAUAAUAUAAAUUAAAAGUCUGAACAUACUCGAUACGAACUAAUAUUGCAUAUGACCUGAGUCCCGUGAAAUAUUACAUUGGUGAACUAAUGAUUUAUAGAUGAUGUCCUAAAGAAAUUAACCGUCUUCUGAACUCGCAAGUCACCGCUUAGCUUUUCUUAUCAACUACAACGCCCGUGUAAAUUCAAGGCUACGUUCGGCCGAAAUACCCCUAGCCGGACCGCGGGGCUGCGGCAUUAUCCUGGAGGAUUUAUGCGGCUCCUUUCCCAAAUGCAUUCAUCAUUCCGCGGUGUCAGCGGCUCGCUUUCAGUCCGGUCUUCGUCCUCCUUUUAUCUCCUCGCUCCUCCGGUUCCUCUCCAUCUCCUUCUCUCUCUCUCUCUCUCGUUCGCUUCUCUCGGCUUUGCCGAACUCCCGGCCUUCUACUUUACACAACACGCACGAACACCGCCGCAGUGCUCACUCUCACUCUCAUCCGAGAGUCCACCGUUCUUUUCUCUUCUCUCCACGCCUGCAACGCGGCAGUGAUUCUUUUUCGUUUUUGGCAUUCACGUCCUCCUCUCUGCUUCCUCGUCUCUUUUUUGUUUUGCAUCAUCGUAUAGUGGCGCGGUCCUUUUCGAGCUCAACCGCGUAUCGGGACCACCCCGUGAUGCUGAACCUUCGUAAUUCUUUAUAACGCUUGUAACGGGUGUUGUGACGCUCUUCGAGACACCCUCUUUCGGAUCGUGAUAUAUGAAGGCGAUACGAUAACGCGCGCAAAAGUCGACGACCUGUUUUGUCAAUUAGCAUAAACAUAAUCACAAGUACGUAAUAAAAAAGUACGAGAUAAUAUUACUCAAGAACUUAUCGUUACACUCGUGACUUGUCAUCACACAUGACUCAAUUAAUUAAUAAUUGACGCAAUUUAUAUAGUUAAACGAAAAAUAGAAUUUCGCGAAUAUCAUGUGACUACGGUAACCUUGUACUUUGAUUGAAAUUCAGCAGCCGACCUUGUAUGGAAUAUCAUGAACUUUAAUGCAAUUCAAAUAAUCCAUAACCAAACAAGAAAUGUAUAAAAAUAAUUGGAGAAACCGUAUCGCUUUGCGGCAAGCGCAGGCGGGAGAUGCGAGUGAACGUCGUUAAAUGUGAUUGUCAUUACUCGGACUACGUCUCGUAAUUGCAACGCGGUUCAUUACGGGAGUCCAUGCAACCGCGAAUCAUUUCGUCUGGCCAUCCGUCUGUGCGUCUCUCUGGCUAUUCAUACGCAAAUCCGAUCGCCGGACCAUCCGUGGCCGGCUGAAACUUUCGACGGUCAAUGCUCGCCCAUCCGCGGCGGACUCGAAAUUUGCAUUUAAAACCAUAGCUGCGGGCGCCAAAAUAAAAAAGGCGACUUUGCGCGUGGUUUGACGAGCGCAGACGUGCCAGGCUAAAAAGAAUCGCGCGGUUCGGCGGAGAGUUCGUGGAAAAAAGAAAAGCAAGAAAAGACCAAAGCCCUGCUGUCGAUACACCAUCGGGAUAAAGAAACGCCGGAUUGUCUUCAGGGCUAAGCAGGCGAGUGAGCCGAUACAGUUCACUGGCGAAAAGGCUAAAGGUAGAUGCAGCGGGAACGAUGUAUCAUUAAAACGCGUACCGAUAUCAUUGCAAAAUCAUGCCACUUUUCUCGUAUUCGAGAUUAAUGUUACGGGUUCAUAAAAAAGCGACUUGAACUGACGUACCACUUUCAAAUGUACUAUAGAAACUAGAAUUGUAAUUAUGGCCGAGACUUCGAGAAUCGACCAAAAAAAUUCGUAUGUUGCACAAACGUAUUUCGUGUGUAAUUCUCUCUAAAAUAUAUAUUCGUGUAAUAAAUCUCUUAUCUUGUCACAAGUGAAACAACCCACGUACUCCGAGGCACCGGUGCAAUUUCAUUUCCGGGUUCCAUCAGCUCAACUGAUUAUUUUAAAAGAGGAAACGGAUGGAGCACGCGUGAGAGAGCGGAGAAAGGAGACGCGCGGGAAAGAGGUAGAGAAAUGUGACAGGAAAAGGCAGCCGCACGUAUUCUUGUGAAAAACAAAACGCAGAGACGGGUUCGGCGCGACGUCUGGCACAACGCGUCUCCGAAUAGAUGAAGAGGAGGAGAAAGAACGGCAAAAGAUAGAACGAAAGAAACGGAAUGAGAGGGUCGGAAGCGGCGAGGGGAAGGAUAGAAGUUCCGGUGGAGAGCCGGAAUAUAACGCCAGCGACGCUGGCUCGACAUCGCGACGUCUUACAACCACGAAGAAGAACCCGCGCACGGGAUUUAUUGGCUGAAGAGCCGAGAAUUUAUGCGGAGAUUCGCGCUGGCAGGUGGUUCUACUCGCGAUGAAAAACCGAAAUUUCUCUCUGACCCUUCUUCUCUCCCCUUCGCCGCUCGGUCUUCCUGUCUUUUACUUCUCGUCUCUCUUUAUACGCGACUCGGAUGAAUUGCAGGAAACUGGAGAGGCCAGCGAGAUGUCUUGUUAAAUGCGAUUAAUAUCUAACACCCCGACUCGAGUGUUUGAUCUCUCUCGGAUCCUUUCGAAUAAAUUUAUGUCUCGCUGAAUAGAAUACUGGGAGAGCGCCGAGACCUCGGAACUUGCGCUUUAUCAUAUUCUCGUGCCACAGAAUUGAAUUGUAAUUCAGAUAAAACAAUUGUUUUCUCUGUUCUUAUUAAAAAAUAAUUAUAUCGUAUUUUUAACUAUUGCAAUAUUAUUUUUCUUAAUAUGUUUCAUGAAGGUUCUUUAAAAAACUAAUAUUGAAUAGUAAAAUCGAAUAGGAGGUGUUGAUACAACGAUAAGAAACGAUGUCCUGGCAUGUGCUCGGGGUGGCUGGGCGGCGACCAAAGAAAGAUGCCAAAAAAAAAAAAAAAAAAAAUAAGACAAAGUAGAAGAAGAGCAGCGGGCAAUGGUAAGAAAAGGGAGGAGGGAAAGGGGCGUUUUUUACCUCUAUCGUUUGUACAGUGCUCACCUUGUUUUCCCACCCCAGGUAUUCAUUUCAAGGACAGAAGAAACAUUUCGAUCGGUUGUAAGGGAGAUUCCCGGCAAAGAUUUUUUGCGGGGCAGCUAGCAAAAGGAUGCACUAAAUCUUGCCCGGAUAUCUCGUGAGUAUAUCAGAGUCAGUGUGGCAGCGGGGUGCCCGAUACAGCCACUCUCGAUGCUGUGCGCUCCGCGCAUCGCAGGACGAAGGGAAGAGGCUGAGAGAAAGACUGAGAGAGAACGAGAGAGAUGUGAGAGAGAUAGCAGAGAAGAGAGAGAGAGAGAGAGAGGGGGGGGGAGAGGGAGAGAAAUGCUGGUUGCGGUCGCCGCUGCUGCCGUUGCACCGUCGCCCCGUCGUCGUUACAUCCCGUUCCUCCGCUUCGAUCAGAAGACACGUUGCAUGCAUAAAAGCGAGCAGACCAGACCGCACCCUUCCUAGCCGCAAGAGUUACUGUGACAGAGAAACCGGAAGCGGGCGCGUGCCGGCGCGACGGAAGUUCGGGGGCUGAACGCGAUCCUAUUUCUGCAGUUGCGUCUCGGUGGUAGUAUUACGACGGAUGUGGCAAAACUGUACAGUCAUGACUCAAAAAAGCUAGCGAUGAAUUCUGCAAGAAGAGAGGCACCAGAGACGGCUCGUAAAAACACAUUACUCGCGUGUACUCAGUUUUCCUGUCUCUCAUAUUCGUAAAGAAAAAUUUAAACAAACAUUUCACAUUCAUGCCGUGCAAA
Molecule: long non-coding RNA, 11499 nt
Organism: Monomorium pharaonis (pharaoh ant)
Lineage: Eukaryota; Metazoa; Arthropoda; Insecta; Hymenoptera; Formicidae
Exons: 2
Source: RefSeq, a predicted model, not a curated record